This 473-nucleotide ribosomal RNA is filed under the name uncultured bacterium. RNAcentral describes it as "bacterial SSU rRNA". It matches the Rfam family "Bacterial small subunit ribosomal RNA", at positions 328 to 793 of the family's 1533-position model. The record is from RNAcentral.
CGCUAUCACUCCUACGGGGAGGCAGCAGUAGGGAAUCUUCACAAUGGGCGCAAGCCUGAUGGAGCAACACCGCGUGAGUGAAGAAGGGUUUCGGCUCGUAAAGCUCUGUUGUUAAAGAAGAACACGUAUGAGAGUAACUGUUCAUACGUUGACGGUAUUUAACCAGAAAGUCACGGCUAACUACGUGCCAGCAGCCGCGGUAAUACGUAGGUGGCAAGCGUUAUCCGGAUUUAUUGGGCGUAAAGAGAGUGCAGGCGGUUUUCUAAGUCUGAUGUGAAAGCCUUCGGCUUAACCGGAGAAGUGCAUCGGAAACUGGAUAACUUGAGUGCAGAAGAGGGUAGUGGAACUCCAUGUGUAGCGGUGGAAUGCGUAGAUAUAUGGAAGAACACCAGUGGCGAAGGCGGCUACCUGGUCUGCAACUGGCGCUGAGACUCGAAAGCAUGGGUAGCGAACAGGAUUAGAUACCCUGGUAG